Molecule: ribosomal RNA, 605 nt
Filed under: Staphylotrichum boninense
Lineage: Eukaryota; Fungi; Ascomycota; Sordariomycetes; Sordariales; Chaetomiaceae
Description: eukaryotic LSU rRNA
Rfam family: Eukaryotic large subunit ribosomal RNA
Source: RNAcentral
UGCAUAUCAAUAAGCGGAGGAAAAGAAACCAACAGGGAUUGCCCUAGUAACGGCGAGUGAAGCGGCAACAGCUCAAAUUUGAAAUCUGGCUUCGGCCCGAGUUGUAAUUUGCAGAGGAAGCUUUGGGCGCGGCACCGACCGAGUCCCCUGGAACGGGGCGCCAUAGAGGGUGAGAGCCCCGUAUGGUCGGACGCCUAGCCUGUGUAAAGCUCCUUCGACGAGUCGAGUAGUUUGGGAAUGCUGCUCAAAAUGGGAGGUAAAUUUCUUCUAAAGCUAAAUACCGGCCAGAGACCGAUAGCGCACAAGUAGAGUGAUCGAAAGAUGAAAAGCACUUUGAAAAGAGGGUUAAAUAGCACGUGAAAUUGUUGAAAGGGAAGCGCUUGUGACCAGACUUGCGCCCGGCUGAUCAUCCGGUGUUCUCACCGGUGCACUCUGCCGGGCUCAGGCCAGCAUCGGUUCUCGCGGGGGGAUAAAGGCCCAGGGAACGUGGCUCCUCCGGGAGUGUUAUAGCCCUGGGUGCAAUGCCCUCGCGGGGACCGAGGUUCGCGCAUCUGCAAGGAUGCUGGCGUAAUGGUCAUCAGCGACCCGUCUUGAAACACGGACCA